Long non-coding RNA from Cebus imitator (Panamanian white-faced capuchin), 100 nucleotides. RefSeq lists it as uncharacterized. NCBI's taxonomy places the organism in Eukaryota, Metazoa, Chordata, Mammalia, Primates, Cebidae. The record is from RefSeq and is a predicted model, not a curated record. The transcript is spliced from 4 exons.
CGGCAGGUGAGUUGUUACACACUCCUUAGCGGAUUCCGACUUCCAUGGCCACCGUCCUGCUGUCUUUAUCACCCAAUCACCUUUUAGAUGGGAAGAGCGU